RNAcentral lists this ribosomal RNA (2145 nucleotides) under Triticum aestivum (bread wheat). RNAcentral's name for it is "partial small subunit ribosomal RNA". The record is from RNAcentral. Lineage: Eukaryota; Viridiplantae; Streptophyta; Magnoliopsida; Poales; Poaceae.
AUGAUACCACGGAUAGACUUAUCGGAUCUGAGAAUAAUUACCAACCAUUUUUCGGACACCCAUAAAAUUGGAAGAGGUGGUUAUGGAGAAGUUUACAAGGCAGUUUACAAGAAGGAAGAGAUAGCAGUGAAGUUGCUUGAUUCAGCCAAAGAAAUUGACGACAAACAAUUUAUGAAUGAACUCAGUAAUCAUAUGAAGGUCCAACAUCCAAACAUUGUACGACUUGUUGGUUAUUGUAAUGAAGUGACCAGCGAAUAUAUUGAGCAAAAGGAUGGCCCUCCUGUUUUUGGUAAACACAUAUACAAAGUGCUCUGCUUCGAAUAUAUGCACGGUACCAGCCUAGACAAGCAUCUUUAUGGAAAUUCCCUGGGACAUGACUGGCCCACGCAUUACCAAAUAAUAAAAGGGACUUGUGAAGGCUUAUGUUAUCUUCACUGUGGGUGCGAGCGUCCAAUCCUCCACCUGGAUUUAAAGCCUGCCAACAUAUUACUUGACAAGCGCAAGAAUCCAAAAAUUGCGGAUUUCGGAUUGUCAAGGAUCUACACAACAAGCCGUACCCAUGUAAAAGUCAUUGGUUCAGUUUCAGGGACAACGAACUACAUGGCGCCUGAAGUAAGAAAAGAGGGCGUGGUGUCAGAUAAGGCUGAUGUCUUUAGUUUAGGUGUUACAAUCAUAGAUGUAAUUGGAGGAUCUCGCGGUUUAGAAACUUAUCACGAACAUGGCGCCAAGAAAUUUGUUGAAUAUGUAUGUACAUAUUGGAGGGAGAGGGAUAAUACAGCAGAUUUAUAUCAAGUAGAGACAUGCACCAAAAUUGCAAUAUGCUGUGUGCAUACUGACAGACACCAGAGGCCCACAAUGAAGGAGAUUAUGGUGAACUUGAAUGAUAUGGAAACUCAGGUUUUGGGCAAGGGUCUCCAUACCCUCACGGUGAAUUCCUCUGGCCGCCAUGUUCCAAACAAGCUCUCCAGUGACAAUUCAGGAAGGGGGCCACUGGACGUUGUGAUUGUGUAUGCCUUUGAUUGUACUGACUGGACCCCAGCCUGGUACACAGUGGAUAAUGGGAUCUUUUGGAUGGUGCAAGAGAAGCUGACCCACUUCCCCGAUAGUUGCAUGGGCUAUAUCUACGUCAUGUCAACUGCUAACACAUACACGUCAGACAUGAAAGUAGUUGACUCGGCGGAGACAAAGGAAACUGGCUACACAGGAUUCGCUAGGCGCAGGACGACCUGCACUAAGAACAUGGCAUCGGGCCUUGCAGAGGCGCAUAAAAUGAUCAGCAGCCGUGGGCACCACAAUGGCAUUAUCUUGUUCUUCUCUGAUGGGUUGAUGAACGAGGGUGACUUCUUUGAUGGAACCAACAACUUCAUCUCCGAAGUGCCCGUCCACACAUUUACCCUUGCCGGGGACACUUAUAACAAUGUUCUCCAAUCCAUUGCGGCAAAUUCUCCAGGAGGGAAGUUUCACACCAAGCCUGUUCCAGAAAGGCCAAAUCUAUCAACACCCUUCUCGAAGCUACUAGAUAGCCUCCUUGGGGGCACCCCGGAGGAUGUUGAGAGACCUCUUGGUUCCAUUUCAGGAAGGGAUCCACUAGAUGUGGUGAUCGUGUAUGCCUUUGACUGCACAGACUCGACCCCAGCCUGGUACACGGUGGAUAGUGGGGUCUUUUGGUUGGUGCAAGAGAAGCUCACCCACUAUGUUGACAGUUGCAUGGGUUACAUCUACGUCAUGUCGACCCCAAACACAUACACAUCGGACAUGAAAGUAGUUGACUCAGCCGAGACAAAGGAAACUGGCUACACUGGAUUCGCCAGGCGCAGGAUGACGUGCACUAAAAACAUGGCAUCAGGCCUUGUUGAGGCACAUAAAAUGGUCAGCAGCCGCGGUUACCGCAACGGCAUCAUCUUGUUCUUCUCUGAUGGAUUGAUAAACAAGGGUGACUUCUUUGAUGGAACAGAGAAAUUCGUCUCUACAGUGCCUGUUCACACAUUUACCCUUGGUGGGGACGCGUAUAACCAGGGUCUCCAAGACAUUGCGAAAAAUUCUCCAGGUGGAACUUUCACCCGCCUUCCAGUUCCUGAAAGACCGCAUCUGUCGGCGCCCUUUUCCAAACUACUGGAUAGCCUCCUCGGCGGCACCAUGGACUGA